This 459-nucleotide ribosomal RNA is filed under the name uncultured bacterium. Its description in RNAcentral is "partial 16S ribosomal RNA". It matches the Rfam family "Bacterial small subunit ribosomal RNA", at positions 338 to 795 of the family's 1533-position model. The record is from RNAcentral.
CCUACGGGAGGCAGCAGUGAGGAAUAUUGGUCAAUGGACGAGAGCCUGAACCAGCCAAGUCGCGUGAAGGAUGACUGCCCUAUGGGUUGUAAACCUCUUUUGUAUGGGAGUAAUAAGUUCCACGCGUGGGGUGUUGUAUGUACCAUAUGAAUAAGGAUCGGCUAACUCCGUGCCAGCAGCCGCGGUAAUACGGAGGACGCGAGCGUUAUCCGGAUUUAUUGGGUUUAAAGGGGGCGUAGGCGGUCUUUUAAGUUAGUGGUAAAAUUUUGGGGCUAAACCUCACAACGCCGUUGAAACUGGAGGUCUAGAGUACAGACGAGGUAGGCGGAAUUAGUGGUGUAGCGGUGAAAUGCAUAGAUAUAACGUAGAACUCCGAUUGCGAAGGCAGCUUACCGGACUGCGACUGACACUGAGGCACGAAAGUGUGGGUAUCGAACAGGAUUAGAUACCCUUGUAGUC